CGGGUGAGUAAUGCGUGACCAACCUGCCCCAUGCUCCAGAAUAGCUCUUGGAAACGGGUGGUAAUGCUGGAUGCUCCAACUUGACGCAUGUCUUGUUGGGAAAGUGUUUAGUGGCAUGGGAUGGGGUCGCGUCCUAUCAGCUUGUAGGCGGGGUAAUGGCCCACCUAGGCUUCGACGGGUAGCCGGCCUGAGAGGGCGGACGGCCACAUUGGGACUGAGAUACGGCCAGACUCCUACGGGAGGCAGCAGCG
This 251-nucleotide ribosomal RNA is filed under the name uncultured Gardnerella sp. RNAcentral describes it as "partial 16S ribosomal RNA". It matches the Rfam family "Bacterial small subunit ribosomal RNA", at positions 103 to 356 of the family's 1533-position model. Lineage: Bacteria; Bacillati; Actinomycetota; Actinomycetes; Bifidobacteriales; Bifidobacteriaceae. The record is from RNAcentral.